Molecule: long non-coding RNA, 1877 nt
Organism: Drosophila virilis
Lineage: Eukaryota; Metazoa; Arthropoda; Insecta; Diptera; Drosophilidae
Source: RefSeq, a predicted model, not a curated record
GAAUGCCGCCGGCUUGCAUGGAAGUUUGGACUGCAGCUAACUGAGAACCGAGAACUGAGCGCCGACAGAACUGGGCUCUGUUCGGACCUCAAAAAAUAGACGCCGCUCAUAUUUAAACUGUGCGAAACUUUAAACAAUUUCACCAAAAGAGCGAAAACUAUUCGGUUGUCCUGUGGCUGCCGCUUUUCCGGCUCUGCCAUUGUUUCACUUUGAGCCGUGCUGUCCCCGCCCUCUGUGUACUACUCCAUUUUGUAUGCUUCCUUAUAUCAACAAUUAUUUGAAACUUUUACCGCAAAUAUUUCCUUGGCUGGUUUUACGCCUGAAAUAAAUUGUAAUAGCAGUUGCCUGGUUAACAGCUCGUAUGACUGGCGGCGACUUUGCGGCGGCGGCAGCCUCGGCUGCCCACUGGCUGCCAAUUUCUUGGGCAGCCCAGCCCAGCCCAGCCCGGCUCGGCUCGGCGCAGUUCUGGUCUGGCACAAGCUAAUCCUUUUGAUUUUCAACUGCACAAAUUCCAGCUAACAACAAUUUAUGUGCCCAGCCCCUGCCCUGACUGGCAACAGUUGCUGCGGCAACAGCCAUGCCGAGCAGUCAAUAACCAGGCUUGACUGUAGCCAUUGUUUGGACUGUGUGUCUGUGUGUCUGUGAGUGUGUUUGUGUGUGUGUGUGCUUGCCACAAAGCACAUUGGCUCGUGGAAUUUGCAACGUUUACGCUGGAGCAUUUGCGCUGGCGGGCAACCAGACCAAGUGCCAGCACCCACUUUCAUCUAGUAUCAAAGUGAAUUUUGUGGCCAUGGGAAUUAUGAGGCAAAAAGUCGAAUACGCCAGGCUAUAGCCAAAUGUAAUCAGAAUCAGGCGCAAUCAUGUCUAUGACCGCGCCCACUUCUAUUCCCGUUUAUCCCAGAGCGUUUAUUGGAAAUUAAUUUAUACGUUUCGGCCGUUUCGAGUAUUUCGCUUUUUGGCUCAAAAUCCAAAUGAGUGGGAACUCCCCUUUGCCAAAAUGUUCCGAAUGGGUUUUUAUUUUCUUUUUAACUGCUGCAAAUCGAAGCCCAAACUGAAUUUGACUAUGCGGCUCAAAUGCAUUCCCAGACACUUCCCAGAACACACACACCUCAAUUGACCGGGUUUUUUUGCAGCCCGUGAUAAGAGCGAGAGCUCGGGCAAAGCCCGCACGUCGCGAGCUGCUGCGAUUGCUGCCGCUUUUGCGACUAUAAAAGCAGCUGCCGGAGCUUGUUCAAGAUCAGAGUUGAAGAGACAACGCUUUAGCACAAAACCAAUUAAAACAAUCAACAUGCAAUUGAUCAAGAUCUGCGGCUUUGUUUUUGCCAUGAUUGUGGCCCUGGCCAGCGCCGAGCCAGAACCUCAAGGCACGCUGCUGAUACAAACCAACAAUGCUCAGGGCAUUUUCACGGGCUAGAAAUGUUACAAAGAACACAAACAUACCUUAAAAAUAUCUUUUGAUCUAACUUAAACACAAACUUUCCUUAAAAAAUGACAUUAAAAACUCUUAAAACUUAUCUGAAUGCAAUUAUUUCAAUUAUUCUACACUUAAACUUAACGCUAAAGUCUAAACAUGGUUGGGUAGAGAAUUGUUUCGUAUAGUUCUGAACAGCGGAAAGUCGCCAGUUCAAACCCAGCAAGAGAUCCCCUUUAAGACGUAAUAACAUCUGAGCAUCGACUGAAGAGAAGAGAGCCAGAGCACCAAAUGUUUAAUAAGAAAUAUUCCAACUAAAUUUAAUUUCUAAGCAGCGGACUAGCAAACGGAAUGUCGCCAGCUCAAAUCUAGCAACAAUUUUCGAAUUUCAAUCAACUAUGUGUAAUUUCUUUCUUUGAUGUCUUCUAUGAGAAAAGGGUACAAUAAACGCUGAAUCACAACUGAA